Molecule: ribosomal RNA, 368 nt
Filed under: Cryptocercus neixiangensis
Lineage: Eukaryota; Metazoa; Arthropoda; Insecta; Blattodea; Cryptocercidae
Description: partial 16S ribosomal RNA
Source: RNAcentral
CUCUUCUUGAAUAUAUUUUGAUGUAUGACCUGCCCGCUGAGUAUUAAAGGGCCGCGGUAUUUUGACCGUGCAAAGGUAGCAUAAUCAUUAGUCUUUUAAUUGUAGGCUGGAAUGAAUGGUUUGACGAGGUGUUAACUGUCUUUAAUUUUUUUUAUUGAAUUUAAAUUUUAGGUUAAAAUGCCUAAAUAUUUUUUUGGGACGAGAAGACCCUAUAGAGUUUUAUAAAUUUUUAUUUUUUUGUGUGAUAAUUUUUGAUUUAAAAAUUUAUUUUGUUGGGGUGAUGGGAAGAUUGAAUUAACUCUUUUUGUUUUAUUAUAUUUAUUUAUAUGUAUUUGAUCCAUUUUUAUUGAUUAUAAGACUAAAUUACC